UACGUAGGGUGCGGGCGUUAAUCGGAAUUACUGGGCGUAAAGCGUGCGCAGGCGGCUUUUCAAGUCAGGUGUGAAAUCCCCGGGCUUAACCUGGGAAUGGCGCUUGAAACUGGAAGGCUUGAGUGUGGCAGAGGGGGGUGGAAUUCCACGUGUAGCGGUGAAAUGCGUAGAUAUCAGGAGGAACACCGGUGGCGAAGGCGCUCAUCUGGCCCAAUACUGACGCUGAUGCGCGAAAGCUAGGGGAGCAAACGGG
Molecule: ribosomal RNA, 253 nt
Filed under: uncultured bacterium
Lineage: Bacteria
Description: partial 16S ribosomal RNA
Rfam family: Bacterial small subunit ribosomal RNA
Source: RNAcentral